Molecule: non-coding RNA, 857 nt
Organism: Danio rerio (zebrafish)
Lineage: Eukaryota; Metazoa; Chordata; Actinopteri; Cypriniformes; Danionidae
Source: Ensembl
AUUACGAACACCUGACCUGCAGUGCAGCAGAAUUCAGAGUCUUGUUUGCGCUCCGGUGACGCAGCUAACCUCAAGACAUGUAACUUACUCCAGAGACGCACUAACUUGCACAGCAUUAAAUGGAAAAGGCUUUGUCCAUGUCCAGUUGAGGGGCAUCAAGAACACGCAGAUAGCCUACCUGUGUCAGCCUGGACAGACUGCAGUUCUGCUACUCCAUGCCAAGGCUUUUGUAUGGAUGUCUUGACUACUACUGUGUUCUCUAAAGGUUUUCUGGAGGCUCCAUUUGAGGGCAUCAAGGACAUACUGAUGGCCUAAACCAGUGUCAGCCUAGACAGACAGGCAUCUAUUGCAGUUCUGCUACACAAGACCAAACUCUCUGCUUUUGUAUGGAUGUCUGACUAGUACGGUGUUCUCUAAAGGUAUAACUGGAGCAAAACAAUAGCAUCCGUUACAGUGAAAUUUGUGUUCAUAAAAGAUAGUGAUAUGUGUAACAGGUCCAGUACAUUUGUCAUAAAGGUUAAAUCACAGUAAGUACUGUAAAAAUAACUUGUUUGCCUUUGCCACAACAGGUCAUGGUGUGUGCUUACUGCUUGUAGUAAACACACGCUGAUCUGAUGAGGGAGAGAUAUACGCAAACACAAUUGUAUUUAAUGUUUUGUUUUGCCUCACUAAAGUGUUGUUGGAGCUUGGUAUGUUCACAGUUGAAAUCACUGAAGUCACAUGGAACGUUUUGACAAUGUGUUUUGUGCCUUAUCUUGACAAUGACCAUCUUGGGACCAUUGCUGUCUGUAGAGGAUGAGGAGCAUUUAAUCUAAAAUAUUUUAGUUUGUGUUCUGAAGAUUAACAGGACUUGUGGG